AUACGUAGGUGACAAGCGUUAUCCGGAUUUACUGGGCGUAAAGGGCGUGUAGGCGGUCUUGCAAGUCAGAAGUGAAAUUCCUGAGCUCAACUCGGGCGCUGCUUCUGAAACUGCAGGACUUGAGUGCUGGAGGGGAUAGCGGAAUUCCUAGUGGAGCGGUAAAAUGCGCAGAUAUUAGGAAGAACACCGGUGGCGAAGGCGGCUAGCUGGACAGUAACUGACGCUGAGGCGCGAAAGCGUGGGGAGCAAACAGGAUUAGAUACCCUGGUAGUCCACGCUGUAAACGAUGAAUACUAGGUGUAGGGGGUAUCGACUCCCUCUGUGCCGCAGUUAACACAAUAAGUAUUCCGCCUGGGGAGUACGGCCGCAAGGUUGAAACUCAAAUGAAUUGGCGGGG
This 397-nucleotide ribosomal RNA is filed under the name uncultured bacterium. RNAcentral's name for it is "partial 16S ribosomal RNA". It matches the Rfam family "Bacterial small subunit ribosomal RNA", at positions 523 to 918 of the family's 1533-position model. The record is from RNAcentral.